UUGACCUUUCAAUUUCAACUAGUGGGCUUUAAUGACAAGUAAAUCCUAACUUGACCUUUCAAUUUCAACCAGUGGGCUUUUAUGCCAUGUUACACCAAAUUUGCCUAUAAAUAUCACCACUCCCUAGCAUGGCAAACACUAGCAACACUCUCACAGACACACAUUCGACUAAAGGAGAGGAAGGAGAACAAGAGAGAAAUCUUGAAAGGAAGAGGAAGGGAGAAGAGAGCCAUCUUGUUCAAAGCUUAGCAAAAAUAUCAAGAUCAAGAGACAUACGACCAGCUCACUACAUUUUCAAGAUCAACUGAUUCUCACUACUCUCACAAGUACUCUUAAAUACUGAAGUGCAGAAUUAUGAAUCAGACAUUUUCGAAGCCAGUGGCUACAAAUGGUUGAGUUGGUAAACUCUUUAUUUCUAAGGCCUUGUUGAGAUACCCAUAAGCUGAUUCUCAGCUCUUUUCAUGUUGAACUUGGAAGGAAACUGUCUCUCUACCCAAAUGGUGACAAAGAAAGAAAAGGAGGACAUAUCUCUCUCUACUUGGUAAUUGCAGAGACAAGUAAUUUACCUCUAGGUUGGGAGGUCAAUGUCAGCUUCAAAUUGUUUGUGUAUGAUCAGAUUCAAGACAAGUACGUGACCAUCCAAGAUGCUGAUGGGAAGGUAAGACACUUUCAUGGAAUGAAAACAGGGUGGGGUUUCGCCUAAUUACUCCCUCUCAGUGAUUUCCAUGAUGCUGCUAGUGGAUACCUCCUUCGCAACACGUGUUUGUUUGAAGCAGAAGUUUUUUUUAUAAAUUAUACUGGCAGAGGAGAGUGUCUGACCUUAGUGAAGGAACUCGACAUUACUAAUACUUUGGAAGAUUGAUAAUUUUUCGUCUCUAGAUGGAGAAACUCAACUCUGAUAUCUUCACUGCUGAAAGUUGCAAUUGAUGGUUACUGGUUCACUGCUUCAGAAACCAGCUAUGGCUUCCCUUCAUUCUCGUUGCUAACUGAUCUCCGCAAGACCUCCAAGGGCUUCCUCAUUAAUGAUACUUUGAUUGUCCAAGUGGAAGUUACUGUCAUGUCCACAGUGAAGAACUUCGCUCUGUAAUCCUAGAGGCUUUUAUUUCCAGUAGUUGAAUUCUCAUUUCAGUAGUUACUUUUAAGAAAGAAGUGAACUAACUAUUGUGUUAUUUACCGAUUUGGAUUUAUCAAUAUCUUUCCGAAGUGUUACAUUUCGUAUUUCAUAUAAACUAUAAUGAAGAUGCAAAAUGAAGUAAUAGUGUAAUUAAAAUUGUACACAAUGUCGCAAUCUACUAGAUUCAACCAACUUCAUUGUACAUUCAACAGUUUUUAUUUCUAAAUCAAUCAUCAUUACCCAUCUAUUGCCCCUCCAAAAUCAAAGAUGGUAAACAAGGCAACAAGUAAUAAGCAUCAAAACAAGGCAAACAGCUUGAUGAGAUAGAAAAGUUACCAUGGAAAUCAUGUUGUCCGUUGGGAACUUUUCGAAAGCUUCAUGAAGACACAAUAUUCCCCGUGUUGGCAGCUCAAACCAUUUUUGUAUGUUUUUCAUUGCACAA
Camellia sinensis is the source of this 1556-nucleotide non-coding RNA. The record is from RefSeq and is a predicted model, not a curated record. Lineage: Eukaryota; Viridiplantae; Streptophyta; Magnoliopsida; Ericales; Theaceae.